CCAGAACUCUGAUGGAUCCAAGCCAGAGAAACAGCAAGCAGGGCUUCCUCCCACGCCCAGAGGAGGAGCCAAUCCAUACCUCAGAUUAUUGCAAUGAGGUAGAUACCAAGGAGGUUUCAGGUGUCCUCCAGACUGCAGGAUCCAUGGUCACUCCUAGUGUGCACUGGUCCCAGCAGCAGGGGCAGGGAUGGGACCCUGCAGCGUGGCUGAACUCCAGGCUGCUGCUGCCACGGCCAACCAUGGAGAACCUGAGCAAAUGGGCCACCUCCAAGGAGCCCCAGCUGGCCAGCAGCCAUGGGAGGGUCUGCAAGGACCAGUGGGAGGCAGAUGAUUCUGCUGACAACGUGCUGGAGAUGGAGUUCAUGCAGAAACAGGUACAGGUGUUGUCCCCAGUACUGGAAUGGAACUGAACUUCCCCUGAUUUUCAGUUGUGUAUCUGUGCAUUUCAUGUGUACAUGUGUGAAGAGCACUGUGCAGAAGUUGAGGAGAUUGAAGAUCUAACCAGACUGGAGGAAGUGUCUGAGAGCUCAGUCCUGCUGUGCCUGAAGAAGAGGUUCCAUCAAAAUCUCAUUUAUACUUACAUUGGGCAAAUUUUGAUUUCGGUGAAUCCUUUCAAAGACCUGAGUAUCUACUCUGAAGAUGUGGCUACUGAGUACCAGCAAGGGACUCUCUCAAAAAAUGCCCCACACAUCUUUGCCAUAGCAGAGAUGGCCUACACGCUGUCCCAGUCAUCAGGGCAGGAGCAGUGUGUCCUCAUCAGUGGACACAGUGGAUCAGGUAAAACAGAAGCUGCCAAAGCCAUUGUGCAAUACCUGACCACGCUGUACCAGGGAUCUGACAGCCACAGGAUCAGACAG
Molecule: long non-coding RNA, 857 nt
Organism: Haemorhous mexicanus (house finch)
Lineage: Eukaryota; Metazoa; Chordata; Aves; Passeriformes; Fringillidae
Exons: 5
Source: RefSeq, a predicted model, not a curated record